CGGUAAUACAGAGGGUGCAAGCGUUAAUCGGAAUUACUGGGCGUAAAGCGCGCGUAGGUGGUUCGUUAAGUUGGAUGUGAAAUCCCCGGGCUCAACCUGGGAACUGCAUUCAAAACUGUCGAGCUAGAGUAUGGUAGAGGGUGGUGGAAUUUCCUGUGUAGCGGUGAAAUGCGUAGAUAUAGGAAGGAACACCAGUGGCGAAGGCGACCACCUGGACUGAUACUGACACUGAGGUGCGAAAGCGUGGGGAGCAAACAGGAUUA
This 263-nucleotide ribosomal RNA is filed under the name Pseudomonas granadensis. RNAcentral describes it as "partial 16S ribosomal RNA". It matches the Rfam family "Bacterial small subunit ribosomal RNA", at positions 518 to 780 of the family's 1533-position model. RNAcentral also lists the same sequence under 2 other names. Lineage: Bacteria; Pseudomonadati; Pseudomonadota; Gammaproteobacteria; Pseudomonadales; Pseudomonadaceae. The record is from RNAcentral.